Molecule: small RNA, 137 nt
Filed under: Arabidopsis thaliana (thale cress)
Lineage: Eukaryota; Viridiplantae; Streptophyta; Magnoliopsida; Brassicales; Brassicaceae
Description: ATSL263240
Source: RNAcentral
CUUAAUUAUAGGGCUUAGUGGAUCUAAAGACGGGUCAUCAAAGAUUUCCUAUACUGAAGCAAAAUAUACCGAAUAUUCAAAUAUCUAUCUGUUACCAAAUUAUAAACAAAUAAGUUCGUAAAACAAUUUAAUAUUUU